Molecule: long non-coding RNA, 1289 nt
Filed under: Sus scrofa (pig)
Lineage: Eukaryota; Metazoa; Chordata; Mammalia; Artiodactyla; Suidae
Description: lncRNA (ENSSSCG00070020521.1)
Source: RNAcentral
CAGCCCAGGCCCUCUUUUGAGCCUCUUGGGAAUGUCUGUCCUCUCCCCUAAUUCUCAGGUUAUUUGAAUCCCUGAGGUGUGUGGCAUGGCCGUCAAAAGCUUGGCCUCUGGACUGUUUGGGCCUGACCCCUACACCUGCCACUGGCUGACUAUGCCUCAGUUUCCCUAUUUGUUAAAAGCCUGUCAUGUGUUGUGAGGAGGACAUGCAAGAGCUUGUGAAGUACGCAGUGUGCUGUCUGGUGGCCGGCAGCCUGGGAUAAUGAUGGUUAUUUCCCUUAGGGGAGUGGAGAAAACCCUAGUUCAGAUGAAGCUGGAGAGCCUGGUCCAGGUGGAAACCUGCCCUUUAUCACACACGAUUCCAGGCUUGGCUCUUUGCCUCCCCGGUGGAGGCUCCUCACCUCAUUCUCCAAGAUGCGUGCCUUCUCCAGGCCCGAGCAUUUGGUGCCCAAGCAUUCGGUGACUGACCUUCCCCAAAAGGUCAGGUCCUACUUCCUCUCCCAACUCAGGGGUUAACUCCAUUUUAUUGUCACACCACUUUUGUUCUUUUGUACAUACUGGUUUCUCUUUUGUACAUAUUGGUGUGUGUACACAUUGGUGUUUGUCCUCCCUGCACGUCUGUAGGCAGAAAGGCAGAUGUACUGGCUUUUUUGAUCGUGGGACAUCUUGGAGGAGCUGAGUGUCAACUAAUGUUUUAGAAAAGCAUGCCUUUCGUCCCAGGCUCCUCAGAGCUUCUCUAUGGCUGGGGAGGGUGAGGCCAGGAGAAGGCCAUGCAGGUGGACGAGGUAGGAUGCUUUCAGCAGCAGGUAAGGUAAGGCCCAGCUCAAACUACUCAAAGACCAAUUAUUGUCUCACCCAGCAGAUGUCCAGAGGCAUUGUAUCCUGUGGUCAUAUAGCCAUUAUUAACUAUGUGAGCUUGGACAAGUAGCUUCAACUCAGUCUCCUCGGGAGUUCCUGUUGUGGCUCAGUGGUAACAAAUUUGACUAGUAUCCAUGAGGAUGUGGGUUUGGUCACUGGCCUUGCUUAGGUGGUUAAGGAUCCAGCAUUGCCAUGGGCUGUGGGGUAGGUCGCAGACUCUGCUUGGAUCCUUUGAUGUUGUAGCCGUGGUGUAGGCUGGCAGCUGCAGCUCUGAUUCAACCCCUAGCUUGGGGACUUCCAUAUUCUGCAAGUGUGGACCUAAAAAGACAAAAACGAAAAACACAAACAAAAACCUCAGUCCUCUCAUCCAUGAAGAAGGACUAUUUCAGGUGCAAUGAGUUAACAUAAGUGUAGGUCUUACAACAAUCCCUAAC